CUUCAUUCCCCUAGCAAAGCGUCAGUAUAUAUACUGUGGGCACCCUUAGCAGGCAGGAGGGGCAGGCAGCUCAGCUUCACCAGGAGCCUCCUUGGGAAGCAACAGCCAAAGCAGGAUGAAGCUUUUCCUGGGCAUCCUCUUGUGCUCCCUGGUCCUGGGUGUCAGCAGCCAAAGGUGGUUAACCUUCCUCACGGAAGCUGCUCAAGGGACUAGAGACAUGGUGAGAGCUUACUCUGACAUGAGAGAAGCCAAUUACAAAAAUUC
Molecule: RNA transcript, 264 nt
Organism: Neomonachus schauinslandi (Hawaiian monk seal)
Lineage: Eukaryota; Metazoa; Chordata; Mammalia; Carnivora; Phocidae
Exons: 3
Source: RefSeq, a predicted model, not a curated record